UACGGGGGGGCAAGCGGUUGUUCGGAAUUACUGGGCGUAAAGGGCGCGUAGGCGGCCUUCUAAGUCGGACGUGAAAUCCCUCGGCUUAACCGAGGAACUGCGUCCGAUACUGAAAGGCUUGAAUCCGGGAGAAGGGAUGUGGAAUUCCAGGUGUAGCGGUGAAAUGCGUAGAUAUCUGGAGGAACACCGGUGGCGAAGGCGGCAUCCUGGACCGGCAUUGACGCUGAGGCGCGAAAGCUAGGGGAGCAAAGCGGG
RNAcentral lists this ribosomal RNA (255 nucleotides) under uncultured bacterium. RNAcentral's name for it is "partial 16S ribosomal RNA". It matches the Rfam family "Bacterial small subunit ribosomal RNA", at positions 524 to 777 of the family's 1533-position model. The record is from RNAcentral.